RNAcentral lists this ribosomal RNA (909 nucleotides) under Natara lutea. RNAcentral describes it as "SSU rRNA". It matches the Rfam family "Eukaryotic small subunit ribosomal RNA", at positions 174 to 1096 of the family's 1831-position model. The record is from RNAcentral. Lineage: Eukaryota; Fungi; Ascomycota; Leotiomycetes; Helotiales.
CACCCCGACUUCGGAAGGGGUGUAUUUAUUAGAUAAAAAACCAAUGCCCUUCGGGGCUCCUUGGUGAUUCAUAAUAACUUAACGAAUCGCAUAGCCUUGUGCUGGCGAUGGUUCAUUCAAAUUUCUGCCCUAUCAACUUUCGAUUGUAUGGUAUUGGCUUACAAUGGUUUCAACGGGUAACGGGGAAUUAGGGUUCUAUUCCGGAGAGGGAGCCUGAGAAACGGCUACCACAUCCAAGGAAGGCAGCAGGCGCGCAAAUUACCCAAUCCCGACACGGGGAGGUAGUGACAAUAAAUACUGAUACAGGGCUCUUUUGGGUCUUGUAAUUGGAAUGAGUACAAUUUAAAUCCCUUAACGAGGAACAAUUGGAGGGCAAGUCUGGUGCCAGCAGCCGCGGUAAUUCCAGCUCCAAUAGCGUAUAUUAAAGUUGUUGCAGUUAAAAAGCUCGUAGUUGAACCUUGGGUUUGGUUGGUCGGUCCGCCUCACCGCGUGCACUGAUCCGACCGAAUCUUUCCUUCUGGGGAACCGUAUGCCCUUCACUGGGUGUGCUGGGGAACCAGGACUUUUACUUUGAAAAAAUUAGAGUGUUCAAAGCAGGCCUAUGCUCGAAUACAUUAGCAUGGAAUAAUAGAAUAGGACGUGUGGUUCUAUUUUGUUGGUUUCUAGGACCGCCGUAAUGAUUAAUAGGGAUAGUCGGGGGCAUCAGUAUUCAAUUGUCAGAGGUGAAAUUCUUGGAUUUAUUGAAGACUAACUACUGCGAAAGCAUUUGCCAAGGAUGUUUUCAUUAAUCAGUGAACGAAAGUUAGGGGAUCGAAGACGAUCAGAUACCGUCGUAGUCUUAACCAUAAACUAUGCCGACUAGGGAUCGGGCGGUGUUAUCUUUUUGACCCGCUCGGCACCUUACGAGAA